GGUCUCCUCCUCUCCAAAACAAACAGACCCGGAGAUUACAGAAAAAAGUCUUGACUAAAUUGGAGGAUAUCCAUAUGGAGGUCAGAAGGCUGGGAAGAAGCGAGCCUCCCCUUUCAUCUGCCCAUAUAGAGCAGCUGGAGAUGAUGGAGGAGUUCAAGAGAGAGAAGCAAUGCCUCAGGGACAAGCAAAACUUUAAAUCCCUGGUGUUGCAACUUGCAUUGGAGGGAAAGACAUAAGAGACUGUGUCCACAAAAUUCUUGACAGGCUCUUCACCAACCUGCUGAUGGCAAAAUUAAAUAUGAAGGGAAAGGGGAUGAAGCAGAAAGUCCCUCUGGGGACAACUAAACCUUACAAAGCAAUCAAAGUUUUCCCCAUGCCAUUUAAGUCUAACACCAACUCUCACUUAUAUUCACUAUCUCAACUUUUUCUGAAUUACACAGAAGGCUACAUUUUUGAAACAAAAGGUCAGUGGUAACAAAAUCUAAUUUGUUAAAUUGAUUUUAUUUGAUGAAAGUUUAUUAAGUUUGCUUGCUUGUUGAAUGAGAAUAUUGGAAUCAGCGGGUCAAGCAGCAAACUGUAUGUGAUGCAUUAUGAUGUUAAUCAGCCUUGGCCACUUUAUAUUAAGAUGUUACAAUGGUGUUAUAGAAUUUGAGCAGCAUGGACGUUACUUUCAUUCAAAUCCAUGGGAUUUUUAUGACUAAUUAAAUGUCAAAAUUCAGCAGUCUUACUUCUAUCUAGAGUCAUCUAAAAGUAAGCUAGUAUUUUCUAAAAUGGAAGUUAUAGUACCCAAAGCCAUUACAUUAGGGCUGUGUCUGAUAAGUCAUUUUAUUUUGUAGUGGCACAGCUAUGCAGGUUCUCUAAAUUCAUGAGUGCUACAUUGUCACCCAAAGCCACCAUCUGUUGCAGGCUUAUCCCUUCCUAACAUACAGCGAUGCGAGUGAACAGAGACCAUCUUCACACUAUCUUAAAGUUACAUGUAUGGCGCUGUGUACCCCAUCAGUCGCCAUGGGUCUGUGCAGUAUUGAUACUUGAUAUUUGACAGGAGGAAUAAUAAUUAAUAAGUAUUAGGAACUUCAAACCUAUAUGUUUGACAUACAGAUAUAAAUACACUGGUUGUCUUUGCAUAUUUAUAAUUUUUGUUUUUGUUCAACUCUUGCGGCGGCAGUCAUGAAAUGGGAUAAAGAAGCUAGAGAGACAUCGUGCAGCAGAACAUCUUUAACAUGCACCAGGGAGGAAGGGAGGUGGAGAGCAUACAGGGGUGGAAAGUACUUCCACAUGAGUGCUGUACAAUUUUAAUGCAUUUGUACUUGUAUUUCCAAUUUAGGUGACUUUAUAUUUUUUCUUCACUACAUUUCAAACCAAAUAUCCUAUUUUUUUCACUUGGCAGUUAACUUUAUUAGA
Long non-coding RNA from Thunnus maccoyii (southern bluefin tuna), 1401 nucleotides. RefSeq lists it as uncharacterized. NCBI's taxonomy places the organism in Eukaryota, Metazoa, Chordata, Actinopteri, Scombriformes, Scombridae. The transcript has 4 exons. The record is from RefSeq and is a predicted model, not a curated record.